This is a transfer RNA of Xylona heveae TC161, 71 nucleotides long. It matches the Rfam family "tRNA". From Rfam's summary of the family: Transfer RNA (tRNA) molecules are approximately 80 nucleotides in length. The record is from Rfam. NCBI's taxonomy places the organism in Eukaryota, Fungi, Ascomycota, Xylonomycetes, Xylonales, Xylonaceae.
GCGUUGAUGGUUUAGUGGUAAAAUUCGUCGUUGCCAUCGACGAGCCCCGGGUUCGAUUCCCGGUCGACGCA